AAAAAGGGCUUCUGUCGUGAGUGGCACACAUAGGGCAAUUUAAUUGCUCUUUGUGCAGAAUCGACAUCAAGAGAUCUCUGGACCGCUGGCGAA
This 93-nucleotide small nuclear RNA is filed under the name Carlito syrichta (Philippine tarsier). RNAcentral describes it as "U11 spliceosomal RNA (ENSTSYG00000020164.2)". It matches the Rfam family "U11 spliceosomal RNA". The record is from RNAcentral. Lineage: Eukaryota; Metazoa; Chordata; Mammalia; Primates; Tarsiidae.